AAGAUUAAUACCGCAUAAGAUUGUAGUACCGCAUGGUACAGCAAUUAAAGGAGUAAUCCGCUAUGAGAUGGACCCGCGUCGCAUUAGCUAGUUGGUGAGGUAACGGCUCACCAAGGCGACGAUGCGU
This 127-nucleotide ribosomal RNA is filed under the name Clostridium sp. enrichment culture clone gl10. RNAcentral describes it as "partial 16S ribosomal RNA". It matches the Rfam family "Bacterial small subunit ribosomal RNA", at positions 159 to 284 of the family's 1533-position model. The record is from RNAcentral. Lineage: Bacteria; Bacillati; Bacillota; Clostridia; Eubacteriales; Clostridiaceae.